Erinaceus europaeus (western European hedgehog) is the source of this 153-nucleotide small nuclear RNA. Its record names the gene U1. It matches the Rfam family "U1 spliceosomal RNA". From Rfam's summary of the family: U1 is a small nuclear RNA (snRNA) component of the spliceosome (involved in pre-mRNA splicing). Its 5' end forms complementary base pairs with the 5' splice junction, thus defining the 5' donor site of an intron. NCBI's taxonomy places the organism in Eukaryota, Metazoa, Chordata, Mammalia, Eulipotyphla, Erinaceidae. The record is from Ensembl.
ACACUUAUCUGGGAGAGGAGAAGCCAUGAUCCUGAAGCUGGCUUUCCAGGACGUGGUGGCCCUCUUGAUGUGGCAACUCUUCAAUUUUCCUCAGUAUGGGAACUUCAACUGCAUAAUUCACAUUAGUUGAAGGACUGUGUUCAUGUUUUCUAC